This 648-nucleotide long non-coding RNA is filed under the name Salmo salar (Atlantic salmon). Its description in RNAcentral is "lncRNA (ENSSSAG00000093088.1)". Lineage: Eukaryota; Metazoa; Chordata; Actinopteri; Salmoniformes; Salmonidae. The record is from RNAcentral.
AUCAGGGGAUCCCUGGCCAGAUGGUGGCAGAGUGAUAGUUCAUUUCAGAAAGAACCAGUGAAAUGAGAUGAGACCCGGGCUCAGGCUUCUGUCAGGCCAGGACUGUUGAUUGUCUUUGGGGCUCAUUGGUGGUCUCAUUGGUGGUCUCCUCUCCUCUUCAUAUAGGGCCUUUAACUGGUAAUGAAUGAGUUGCCUAAUGGGUCUCUGGCACCAACCCAGCGGCCAAGCGUUUCUCUCCCGCCUGCCACCGUCCGUCAGGCCGUGUGAAAAAUGUGGAGGAUCAGUGGUGGAGCAGAAGACUCAUACAGAGGAUGAGGGGGUGGAGAGAGGAUUCGGUUAUCACCACCACCAGAGAACGGGGGGAAUAAUACUACACUCUUCGGAUCAGAUCAGAACUCAAUGAAGCCCUGUAUUACGGUGUCCAUACUGGCUGACUUCAGACUGGAGGUCAACACGGCCCCACAUUAGAAACCAGACUCUCCAUGAUACUCAAUAACGCCUCCAGUAGAGAUGAUGAAAUGACAGAUAGUAUCUCUUCAAUUAUCACAGAGGCAUCAUCUUCCCAUCAGCAGAUCCAUAUUAGGACCAUUAUCUAUCUACACAGUCAGUGUCUCUGGAGCCCAAAUCUGCAAUUGCAGCUAAAACGCC